Molecule: transfer RNA, 214 nt
Filed under: Microcaldota archaeon
Lineage: Archaea; Nanobdellati; Microcaldota
Description: tRNA-Lys
Source: RNAcentral
GGGCUCGUAGCUCAGCUUGGCAGAGCAUCCGGCUCUUAACCGGACGGUCGCGCGUAGCCUCUCUUUUCUUGUAAGAAAAGAGACCCUAGGGAGAGAAAAGAACUCUUGCUCGAAAGGGAGAAUAGAAAGAACCGUAGGUUCGUCUGGAUCGCGAAUUCGAAAGACGCUUUCUCCAGUCAUUUUUGAAAAGUGUCCGCCACUCGCGCCGAGCCCG